CUACGGGGGGCUGCAGUGGGGAAUAUUGCACAAUGGGCGCAAGCCUGAUGCAGCCAUGCCGCGUGUAUGAAGAAGGCCUUCGGGUUGUAAAGUACUUUCAGCGGGGAGGAAGGGAGUAAAGUUAAUACCUUUGCUCAUUGACGUUACCCGCAGAAGAAGCGCCGGCUAACUCCGUGCCAGCAGCCGCGGUAAUACGGAGGGUGCAAGCGUUAAUCGGAAUUACUGGGCGUAAAGCGCACGCAGGCGGUUUGUUAAGUCAGAUGUGAAAUCCCCGGGCUCAACCUGGGAACUGCAUCUGAUACUGGCAAGCUUGAGUCUCGUAGAGGGGGGUAGAAUUCCAGGUGUAGCGGUGAAAUGCGUAGAGAUCUGGAGGAAUACCGGUGGCGAAGGCGGCCCCCUGGACGAAGACUGACGCUCAGGUGCGAAAGCGUGGGGAGCAAACAGGAUUAGAUACCCUUCGUAGUC
Molecule: ribosomal RNA, 465 nt
Filed under: uncultured bacterium
Lineage: Bacteria
Description: partial 16S ribosomal RNA
Rfam family: Bacterial small subunit ribosomal RNA
Source: RNAcentral